This is a long non-coding RNA of Oreochromis aureus, 617 nucleotides long. RefSeq lists it as uncharacterized. The record is from RefSeq and is a predicted model, not a curated record. NCBI's taxonomy places the organism in Eukaryota, Metazoa, Chordata, Actinopteri, Cichliformes, Cichlidae. The transcript is spliced from 5 exons.
UGGAAUCCGGUGGAUACAGCAGUGUUACAGUUCUCCACAGUCACUGUCCACAUGGGUCAGUGGGACCAAGCAGCACUCUGCUAAUGUGUGGACUCUGACCAGCAACAUCCAGCAAGACCCAGGCAGCGUUUUCUAUCUCCCAGCUGGAGUUUUUUUGUUUGUCUGUGACUGGAGAGUCAGAUUUUUGUUGAGGCUGGAGGAACAGCCUCACACUCGCAGAGGUUAAUACACGGCACUGAUCCCUGAUGGGAGAAUCAUCACCUCUGCCAACAAAGAAGCCUGGUGGAUGUUUGUUUACAGUCUGAUGAUGGGACAUCAUGCUCUGCAUCUUCAAAUCUUUUUGCAGGAUCAGAAAACAAAACCAGGAGGCCUGUAAAUGUUUCUUCUCCAAUUGGAUGAUGAUAAGACUGUGACACGGGAUGCCACCUUUAGUCUUGUGAUGAAGCAAAGCUCAGGAAGAAGUGUGAUUAAAUGGUACCCACAUGUGUGCUGCUGAGAAGGAUGUACAGGGGCACCUGCAGCCAAAUCCAAGCCUCCUCAGCAACUUCAGGUCUGUCAGCGUGCUGAGGUCACAGAAACAAGAAAAGCAGCUUCAGACUUCAGAGUGUUGUUUACAG